GCAUAUCAAUAAGCGGAGGAAAAGAAACUAACAAGGAUUCCCCUAGUAACUGCGAGUGAAGCGGGAAAAGCUCAAAUUUAAAAUCUGGUAGCCUUCGGUUGCCCGAGUUGUAGUCUGGAGAAGCGUUUUCCGCGCUGGACCGUGUACAAGUCUCUUGGAACAGAGCGUCAUAGAGGGUGAGAAUCCCGUCUUUGACACGGACUACCAGUGCUUUGUGAUGCGCUCUCAAAGAGUCGAGUUGUUUGGGAAUGCAGCUCAAAAUGGGUGGUAAAUUCCAUCUAAAGCUAAAUAUUGGCGAGAGACCGAUAGCGAACAAGUACCGUGAGGGAAAGAUGAAAAGCACUUUGGAAAGAGAGUUAAACAGUACGUGAAAUUGCUGAAAGGGAAACGCUUGAAGUCAGUCGCGUCUUCUAGUACUCAGCCUUCCUUUUGGUUGGUGCAUUUACUAGUCGACGGGCCAGCAUCAGUUUUGGCUGCGGGAUAAAGGUCAGAGGAAUGUGGCACCCUCGGGUGUGUUAUAGCCUUUGGUCAUAUACCGUGGCUGGGACUGAGGAUCUCAGCAUGCCUUUAUGGCGGGGGUUCGCCCACCUUCAUGCUUAGGAUGCUGGCGUAAUGGCUUUAAACGACCCGUCUUGAAACACGGACCAAGGAGUCUAACAUGCCUGCGAGUGUUUGGGUGGUAAACCCGAGCGCGUAAUGAAAGUGAAAGUUGGGAUCUCUGUCGUGGAGAGCACCGACGCCCGGACCAGACCUUCUGUGACGGCUCCGCGGUAGAGCAUGUAUGUUGGGACCCGAAAGAUGGUGAACUAUGCCUGAAUAGGGUGAAGCCAGAGGAAACUCUGGUGGAGGCUCGUAGCGAUUCUGACGUGCAAAUCGAUCGUCAAAUUUGGGUAUAGGGGCGAAAGACUAAUCGAACCAUCUAGUAGCU
Molecule: ribosomal RNA, 928 nt
Filed under: Phanerochaete sp. TNMF10587
Lineage: Eukaryota; Fungi; Basidiomycota; Agaricomycetes; Polyporales; Phanerochaetaceae
Description: LSU rRNA
Rfam family: Eukaryotic large subunit ribosomal RNA
Source: RNAcentral